GGUUGGUAUACUGUUUACAAGAUAAAUAUCAGAGAAAAUGGAACAACCUCUGACGUGGUGGUUCCUCAGGUUGAAUUCGGCUCAAUCCAUCCCAAUAAAGAUCAGAGAAUUUUAUACUUGGUACUGAUGGUAUAGAGUCUUGCAUUAUUUCAUCAUUGCUACUUGAUAUUAAAAAUAGAAAACGGAGGAAAUAACAAGGAUAAAAUUCAUUUAAAACACUUACCUUUUGCCCUGCUUUUUUGGCUUGCUCAACAGCAGCAACAGUUGUACCUGCUUUCCGGUAUUUGUGACCUCGCUUGUAUUUAUCUUGUUUCUUGGGUGCACGCUUCUUAUCAAAUUUCUUUUUCUUGUCCCCUUCUUUCUUGCCAUCUUUCUUGUCUUUCUUGGCAUCUUUCUCUGCUCCAGUUGAGGCUUUCAGAGGCUUCUUUUCUUUCUUUGCUUUCUCAGACUUGUCUUUCUUGGACGCAUCUUUCGUUAAGAUUUGACUCCUUUGGCAGCAGCAGGUUUUUUAUCAGUUGUAGCCUUCUUUUAUCAGCACCCUUGGCGGCUGGUUUCUUCUCAGCUACUUUCUUUCCUGCUGGCUUCUUUUCUGCGACUUCUUAUCUGCUGGUUUUUUUUCAGCUGGUUUUUUUCUCAGCUUUGGCAGUGCCAGAUGCAGCUGGUUUCUUCUCAGCCUUUGCAGCAGGCUUUUUCUCCGAGGAUGACCCUGCAGCAGGCUUUUUGGCCCCUAAAAAUGACCAAGAAUAAUCAAAAACAUUAGGAUAAAAUAAUUUUAGGAGAAAAAAUAAAACACAACAUGAGGAAGGAUGAAUACUAACUUGGAAAUUUUUAGAUGAAAUCAAGAGCAAUGAGUUCGAAAUGAAAUAUUAGGUAGGGGAAGAAAUUCAGUCUUCUUAGAUGUAGGCGUUUACUCAGCUUCAAGAGGGAGUUUCUUAAGCGGGGAUUUUACUUUUUAUUUUUUUAAAAGAAAAAAAAAAAAAAUUAACAGCACAAGCGCACUGAUGCACUCAUGAAUUAAUAGCAAAGAAUGAUUAGCAAGUUCUCCUAUUUGCAGUGAAUAUACCUUCCUCAGGAGCUCCAAGAUGCAUACUUAACUGAAAGUCUACUCUCCCAACUACAAAAUUUAGUGCGGUUCCUUAUUGUAGUUUGUUCCUAUUCCUGAACAGCCAAGACCAUACCUUAUACCUAAGAAUUCUCAAUGAAGUGCACCCGAUCGAGAUCCUGAACAUGCUCUGAUUAAUCAUCAUCAAUCUAACAUCUAUGGCUGUAUUGUUGAAGUAAACUGUGUGAGGCCAUUUGAAAACAUACUUACCGUACUUCCAAACGGUCCGGGAUGUUGAACUCCUUUAUAAAGCGAAUGACUUAUGCAUUUACAUGUAAAUGACCAACGUUUCAACAAAACGCUCAACAAUUUAGGGAGGGCAACGGCCACCAUUGGAUUGCAUUUGCAAACAGAACAACGUAUUGGAUACGUAUACUUCAACAAUGCAACUUACUUUAUCACAUGGCAAAAGACCAGUUGGAUGGUCUCCAGCUGAGUCGGAUUACAGAAUGCUGCACUAUCGAAUCUAGCCUUGUAUCGAGUACCAAUUUAGAGAGCUGAUUCAAGCACAGGCGUAGGCUAACCAAAUGACAAAAGGCAUGCCCGGGAUCUUAUCAGUUUCAUGUCCAAGCCCGCUGAGCUUCCCUCCAGUUUCCCUGACGGGUUUAAGAGAUUAAAUUUAGAUUGUGGAAUUUUCUACAUACCAGAGCCUUCUUGCUUCUUCGGAGGCAUGUGAGUAGCGCUGUUUAUUAGACCUAAAUAAUAAAAAAAAACACCCUCUAAUUCACGAUGCACUGAGAAGCGUCGAAAUUGUCGCGUGGAACGCUGAUCGCUGAUUAGAAUUUUGAGGUUAGGGGUGAACGGUGAACAGCCAGGUGAAUGUGUCCUACUGAGCUAUCCUACUAACAUGAAAGAACGCACUUGGAGGGUCCGCUGCCGCAUCCCACUCGUGACCGGUCGACAUGCUCCUAAACGCCGCCAGG
This 2025-nucleotide long non-coding RNA is filed under the name Bemisia tabaci. RNAcentral's name for it is "lncRNA ENSSSA2NGG012636". The record is from RNAcentral. Lineage: Eukaryota; Metazoa; Arthropoda; Insecta; Hemiptera; Aleyrodidae.